RNAcentral lists this ribosomal RNA (206 nucleotides) under uncultured bacterium. RNAcentral's name for it is "partial 16S ribosomal RNA". It matches the Rfam family "Bacterial small subunit ribosomal RNA", at positions 568 to 774 of the family's 1533-position model. The record is from RNAcentral.
CGCGCAGGUGGUUUCUUAAGUCUGAUGUGAAAGCCCACGGCUCAACCGUGGAGGGUCAUUGGAAACUGGGAGACUUGAGUGCAGAAGAGGAUAGUGGAAUUCCAAGUGUAGCGGUGAAAUGCGUAGAGAUUUGGAGGAACACCGGUGGCGAAGGCGACUGUCUGGUCUGUAACUGACACUGAGGCGCGAAAGCGUGGGAGCAAACA